RNAcentral lists this ribosomal RNA (253 nucleotides) under uncultured bacterium. RNAcentral's name for it is "partial 16S ribosomal RNA". It matches the Rfam family "Bacterial small subunit ribosomal RNA", at positions 524 to 776 of the family's 1533-position model. The record is from RNAcentral.
UACGUAGGGUGCGAGCGUUGUCCGGAAUUAUUGGGCGUAAGGGGCUCGUAGGCGGUUUGUCGCGUCGGGAGUGAAAACUCAGGGCUUAACCCUGAGCCUGCUUCCGAUACGGGCAGACUAGAGGUAUGCAGGGGAGAACGGAAUUCCUGGUGUAGCGGUGAAAUGCGCAGAUAUCAGGAGGAACACCGGUGGCGAAGGCGGUUCUCUGGGCAUUACCUGACGCUGAGGAGCGAAAGUGUGGGGAGCGAACAGG